RNAcentral lists this ribosomal RNA (496 nucleotides) under uncultured bacterium. RNAcentral describes it as "partial 16S ribosomal RNA". It matches the Rfam family "Bacterial small subunit ribosomal RNA", at positions 28 to 506 of the family's 1533-position model. The record is from RNAcentral.
GAUGAACGCUGGCGGCGUGCCUAAUACAUGCAAGUCGAGCGAACGGACGAGAAGCUUGCUUUUCUGAUGUUAGCGGCGGACGGGUGAGUAACACGUGGAUAACCUACCUAUAAGACUGGGAUAACUUCGGGAAACCGGAGCUAAUACCGGAUAAUAUUUUGAACCGCAUGGUUCAAAAGUGAAAGACGGUCUUGCUGUCACUUAUAGAUGGAUCCGCGCUGCAUUAGCUAGUUGGUAAGGUAACGGCUUACCAAGGCAACGAUGCAUAGCCGACCUGAGAGGGUGAUCGGCCACACUGGAACUGAGACACGGUCCAGACUCCUACGGGAGGCAGCAGUAGGGAAUCUUCCGCAAUGGGCGAAAGCCUGACGGAGCAACGCCGCGUGAGUGAUGAAGGUCUUCGGAUCGUAAAACUCUGUUAUUAGGGAAGAACAUAUGUGUAAGUAACUGUGCACAUCUUGGCGGUACCGAAUCAGAAAGCCACGGCUAACUACGU